GCCUUUCCCGACAUUCGUAAGAGUCCUCUUGAACGACCUCGUUAAUCUCCGCCCCGUUUGUGCAAACUCGUAAAGAGCUAUAAAAGACGGGUAGUUCAGGUCGGGAUACGGAGUCGAACAGUUGAAGUUGGAUCUCGUGAUUGUUUCUGUUUGCUCGCGGGUGAAAUUCAUGGAACAGACGAGAUUCACGAGGUCUUGUGUGGAGGCAUCGUAGAUUAGGCCCGGAUUGAGGGCCCGGUUCGGGUCGACCUGGCCCGACCCGAUACCCGUGGGUACCGCGAGCAUACGGUCCACUUCCUUGAUUGGCUGGUUGGUGUUGUCGAGUGGAUUGGCGGUUGUCAUCAUUGCGGAUUGAAUAGCCGCCGGAGACCAGUCGGGGUGGGCGGAUUUGAGGAGGGCGGCAACUCCGGCGAUGUGUGGGCAAGCCAUUGAUGUGCCGGACAAGAGAGUGUAGUCAGUUGACAGGUAUAAGUUCUUGCCGAUUCUUUCUGUAGGGUUCGCGUGAGGGCUGUAGGCUGCUAAGAUCAGAACUCCCGGUGCCAUAAUAUCGGGCUUUAGUAUGGGUGGGUAGCUUCUUGCGGGGCCCCUCGAGGAGUCGUCGGAGAGUGCCGGAGCGGCGACCGGAGAUUUUGCCCCGAUGAUUGUCUGUUGGAAAACUAUGGUUGCUGUUGGUUCGGCGGUGUUGGAUAUGUAAUCGAUCACGUGUUGUGCUUCUGCGGGUGUGAUUACGACUCCUGGGGCGGGGAAUAGGGUUGAUCGGAAAAUGCGGAUAUCUUCGGAGAUGAUGAUGGCUGCUCCGACGUUUUCUGCCCUCGAUAGAUACCCCAUUGUGGAGUCGAAGUAGGAAUUUUCGAUUGUUAGAUUGCACACGAUUAUGCUGCCGAACCGUGCUGAUGCUAGUAGUUCGUCGGAGUUGCAGGCGGAGAACGUCUCGUUGUAGACGAGGGGGGUGUUUCUGAAUAUGGCUCUCGCCGGAAAAGUGGUCCACCCGGUGAUGGUUUUCCCGUUUCCGAGAGUCAACGUCCCGGCGAACCACCGGUCGACGGUGCCCGACGCGACAACCACUGCCCACGGGAUUCCGGAUCUUAGAGUCGCGAAGGAGGGGCCGCGAUUCCCGGCGGAGAGACAAACGACGAUUCCCUUUUUUCUCGCGCCGAAACUGGCUAUUGAGAGAGCGUUCUCGUACAGAUUAGUGCUGCGGUCGCUUAGAGAAAUGGACAGUAUGUCGACCCCGUCGGCGACGGCCUGGUCGAUUCCGGCGAUUAGGUCGGAGGUGACCCCGCCGUCCCAGAGGACUUUGUACACCGCUAUUCUGGCGCGUGGGGCCACCCCUCUCGCAGUUCCGGCCGCGUAGCCGAAGAACGAAACGCCGUCGACGUAGUUUCCGGCAGCGAUGGAGGCAGUGUGCGUCCCGUGACCGUCUAUGUCUCUAGCAGAAUACAUAGGUAUCGCGACACCUGGAUUCGCCGCUCGAAGUCCUUCACGGAAAUAUCUAGCUCCGAUGAUUUUCCUGUUGCACGACGAGGAAUUGAACUCUUCGCCCUCUUCGCAGAUACCCUUCCACCUUGUAGGUAUUUCCGUCAUUCCGUCGUCCCUAAAGCUCGGACUUUCGGGCCAAAUGCCAGUGUCGAUAACUCCGAUUAUGACAUCUUUGCCGUAGUUGGAAGCCGGCCACAGACCGGUAGCGGAGUUGAGAGAGAGGAAUUUAGACGAAUGGGUGGUGUCUGCCGUGACAACACCAUCUUCAAAAGCCGAAAGGAACCCCUGUGAUUUCUUUACAGCUUCCAGUUCAUCUUCAGACAACACCGCACUGAAUCCAUGGAAGGCAUUGUCGUAAGUGUAGAUAAUCUUCGAUUCGGGUUCGUCGAGUGAUUUAGCAGAUUUGAGCAUGGAAGAAUACCAAUGGUGGUGGCUCGAAAAUGCCUUUGGCAUGGAGAAUUUGUCCAUGUGGACAAUAUAUGUCGAUCUUUCUGCCGACACAUCAUCGGCCAAUAGAAAUAUCGAGACAAGAAUUAGAGGAACCGCCAUAACGAGAAGCUCCAUUAUUUUUUCACUCAGUGGUAGAUGCUUCUAGACCAGUCUGCUAUAUAAUAAAUUUUAUUACAAGGCAGCUACUUACUUUCUUUGCAAUAUUUCUAGUGACUGUAAUAAGGUAGAAGAAACACCGACAAGAGGAUUUAUUGCAAUGGCCCCAUUUCCACCUUCCAAAUCUAGCUACAUGCAAGACUGUGUGUAUUGAAAGCCACACAUUUGAGUAAGUAUAUCUAUAUCUAUAUAGGAUAUGGAUCAGUUUAAAUAUCCCAUAAAUUGAAGGGGUAUGUACCCCCAUGUGCAAGAUACAGAAUAUAUAUUUAUUAGGUGUAUAUUGAAUUCAAACAUCAAGUUGCUCCCCAACUGUAGAUUUAUUUGGAUCCUCAGUAAAAAAACUUUUCACUCAGGCAUUUCAACAUACACCUUUGAGCAACAGUUUUUCGAAUCGUGAUUUAGAAGAAAACAAGUCGACCAAUGAUGGUGGCUGGAGAAUGUUUUGGGCAUGGAGGAUUUGUCCACGUGGACAAAAAUGUGGAUCUUUUUGCUGAAGCAUGUUGAUAUUUAUGAGCCAAUAGAAGCAAUGUGAACAGAAUCAGAGAAGCUACAUUACUGGUAAGCUUCAUUUUUUUGCAAUCUGAAUCUUUGGUGCAUGGAGUUCUAAUUAAUAAGAUGCAAUGGAAAAAAAAAACUACACUAAAAUAAAAAAAAAAAAAAAAAAAAAAAAAAAAAACCGGAACUAGGAGAAAUUAUCAGCUGCUGCCGAAACCAUAAUAGGACUUCUGACGGUGUACUUGCCACUCUGCUCGAUCCAAGUAAGCGAGCCAGCCCUAUGUAGUGUAUCGAUAUCGGCAUUAUAUCGAAUCUUGACAAUGUAGCUCAGUUUCUCGUUCUUCUUUUGGAAAACCAACGUAUGCGGCCGAACUCUAACUGUAGUAUUCGCCGGUACUUCGACCUUUACUCUGUACUUAGCUGCCCCAUCUCCUACAUUCGUCACCGUCCUCUUAAACCUCCGUGUCACAAACCUUCCGAUAUCCGCCGAGUGAGUAAGAGCCACGAAAGACGGAUAGUUCAGAUCGGACGAAGGAUUCGAGCAGUUGUAGUUUGUCGACUUCACAAUCGUUUGAGUUUGCUUGCGUGUGAAGUUCAUGGAGCAAACAAGAUUCACGAGGUCCUGUAUGUUAGCAUCGUAGAUUAGGCCCGGGUUGAGCGCUCGGUUCGGGUCAACCUGCCCCGAUCCGAUGCCUAAAGGUGUGGCAACUGUACCAUUAACUUCCCUGAUUGGCUGAUUCGUGUUAUCAAGAUGAUUAGCAGUUGUCAUCAUCGCGGAUUGAAUAGCCGCCGGGGACCAAUCGGGGUGCGCGGAUUUGAGGAGGGCGGCAACUCCGGAAAUGUGCGGGCAAGCCAUGGAUGUACCCGAUAAGAGAGUGUAAUCGCUCCACAAGUAUAUGUUGUUACCGAUUGUCGGUGUGUCAGUUGCGUAAGGGCUGUAAGCUGCUAAAAUCGAGACACCUGGCGCCAUUAAGUCGGGCUUCAAGAUGCCCUCGUAACUCAUUCCGGGCCCUCUCGAAGAAUCUUGCGAUAGCGCUGGAGCAGCUCUCGUCCCAUCCCCUAAAAUCGUCAGUUGAAAAUCGAUGCUUGCUGUUGAUAGGGAGCCGCCAGCUGCGUAGGCGAUUACCUCUCGUGCUUCGUUUGGUGUGAUCACAACUCCUGGAAAAGGGAAAGAGUUGUAUCGGAAUAUACUUGGAUCUUCGGCGAUUACAAUAACAGCUCGGACGCUAGAAUUUUGUAGAUUUUUCAUCACACUAUCGAAAUCUGUGUUUCCGUUGGUGACAUUGCAUACUAUGAUGCUAUCGUAAGGUGCCUGCGCCAGCUGAGCAGAGUUGCAUGCGGAUAAGCUUUUGCUAUAGAAGACCUGCAAGUUUCUGAUUGUGGCUCGUGCGGGAAAUGUGGUCCACCCCGUGAUGGAUUUGCCGUUGCCGAGAGUCAACUUGCCGCCGAGCCAUCUGUCGACGGUGCCAGAUGCCACCACCACUGCCCAAGGGAUUCCGGUUCGUACGGUACGAACAUCCGGGCCCUCAUUUCCUGCAGAGAGACAAACUACGAUUCCCUUUUCCCUAGCGGCGAAGCUGGCUAUGGAAAGAGGGUUCUCGUAUAGUUCGAACUGGCGGCUGCCUAAAGAAAUCGAGAUUAUAUCAACUCCAUCAGCCACUGCCUGGUCAAUGCCCGCAAGUAUGUCGGACGAAACGCCCCCGUACCACAUGACCUUGUACACCGCCAGCCUGGCGCGUGGGGCCACCCCUCUGGCGAUACCGUUGGCGUAGCCGAAGAAGGAGGCGCCGUGGACAUAAUUACCGGCGGCGAUGGAGGCGACGUGGGUCCCGUGGCCCUCGUCGUCCCUGGCGGAGUUGGUGGGGAUUUCAAUAGACAUAAAUCCCGCUUGGUGCAUCCCUCGGUUGAAGUAUCGUGCCCCGAUGAUUUUCUUGUUGCACAACGACGAGUUGAAUUCCUGGCCCGCCUGGCAGAUGCCCUUCCAUCUCGAGGGUACUUCGGUCAUUCCCUCGUCGCUGAAGCUCCGGCUCUCCGGCCAAAUCCCGGUGUCGAUGACUCCGAUGAUCACGUCUUUGCCGGAGUUGGAAGCCGGCCACAGCCCCGUGGCGGAGUUGAGCGAAAGGAAUUGGGUCGAUCGAGUGGUGUGUGUCGUGAUGACAUCAUCGGCGUAGGAAGAGAUAAAACCCGGCGACUUCUUCAAAGCUUCCAACUCAUCUUCAGACAACACCGCACUGAAUCCAUGGAAGGCAUUGUCGUAAGUGUAGAUAAGCUUCGAUUCGGGUUCGUCGAGUGGUUUCCCGAAACUAAGCAUCGACGAAUACCAAUGAUGGUGGCUCGAAAAGGCCUUCGGCAUGGAGGAUUUGUCCAUGUGGACAAUGUAUGUGGAUCUUUUUGCUGAAGCAUAUUGAUAUUGAUUAACCAAUAGGAGCAAAGAGAACAGAAACAGAGAAACUACAUUAGUAGUAAGCUCCAUUUGUUUUGCAAUCUGAAUCUUGGGUUUUGACAAAUAACUUAGGCAACAACCAUUCUUGUUUUAUAGUGAGAUGAGUCCUAAAAUAAUGGCAAGAAUUGGCGCCAUUUGGAAUUGGUCUCUGCUUUUUGCUCAAACUGCAUUUAUUGAGCUGGGAUUAAAUUAAAUUAAAUUAAAUUAUUAAAUUAUGUUUUUCUUGACUUUCUUGUUCUUCUAAUUUCUGUUUUUUUCUGUAACUUAAAAAAAGGAAAUCAAGUCCAAAGUAAUACUGUGCAGUUAUAAUUCUUGAACCAGUCACAUCCGGAUGAUAUGGCUGAAGUGGUGGAACCACAAAUUUUAAUUAAAAUAGGAUUUUUUAACAGAAAAUAACAAUAAAUAAAUAAAUAUUUAUUUAUUUAUAACGUUUAAUUAAAAUAGCAUAAAUCUUUAGAAAAUUAUACCCUACAGUAAAAGAAAUAAAAACAAUCAAUUUAUUAGCUGCCCAACUAGAUAUUUUUGGAAUAUUUGAAUACUAUGGUCGACAUAUCUUAAUAUAUAAGAUAUUUCGUUAUUUAAUCUAUAGUUAUUCAAUAUUUAUUGACUAGUAAUUGUGUUAGUUCAGGAUUUAGAUUAUGCAACUCAUUUUUAUUUAAUUAAUUAGUAAAAAUAAAUCAAAUAAAGCAAGCUUGCAUUAGUGUUGAAGAAUUUGGAUUUGAGUAGAAUAAUGAAAAGAAAAAUCAAAAUGACUGCCAAUGAUUCCAUAAGUAGGUUAAACAAGAACCAAUGAGCAUCAAAAUCCUCGAGUUCAAAUGCCGUUAUUUUUAUCAGUACAGGUUUUCGUACAUACAUUACUUACAUUGCCGAUGAGUAACGAAACGAUGAACUAACACACUAUUAGCCGAAGUUAUCGACUCCUGCAGAAACCACAAUCGGACUUCUGACAACAUGCUUGCCAUUUUCCUCUACCCAAGUGAGUGAACCAAACGUCGGAAAUGCAUCAAUAUCACCUCUAUAACGAACAUUUAAAGAAUAACUCUGCUUCUCGUAUUUCUUUCGAAACACUAAAGUCUUGGGCGAAAUUCUAACUCUCGUAUUCUCCGUUUUUUCCAGCUUAACUCUGUACGUGGCUGCACCGUUCGCUACGUUCGCACCGUCCUGUGGAAUGUCCGGUUAAAAGUCAACCCUCUUUCGUCGGAGUUAAAAAGUGCAAUGAAAGACGGGUAAUUCAGGUCCGAAGAAGGGCUCGAGCAGUUAUAGCUCGAUCUCGUGAUUGUUUGCGUUUGCUCGCUGGUCAAAUUCAUGGAGCAAACAAGAUCCACAAAGUCUUCUGUGGUCGCAUCAUAUACGAGUCCCGGAUCAAGCGCGCGAUUGGGGUCCACCUGCCCCGAUCCAAUCCCUAGAGGGGUGGCGUUUCUGAAAUCAGUAAAUCCCAAGUCCUUGAUUGGCUGAUUGGUAUUGUCAAGAUGAUUGGCAGUUGUCAUCAUUGCCGAUUGAAUAGCCGAAGGACUCCAAUCGGGGUGCGCUGCUUUGAGAAGCGCAGCAACUCCGGCUAUAUGAGGACAAGCCAUUGAUGUGCCGGAUAAGAGAUUGUAAUCCCUGGACAAGAAUAAGGUCUUACCAAUGAUCGGUGCACUAAUAGUAGUGUAAGGAUUGUACGCUGCUAAGAUUAGCUCUCCCGGUGCCAUUAUGUCGGGCUUCAAUAUGCGGUCGUAGCUUAAUCCGGGCCCUCUAGAUGAGAAAUCCGAUAGGGCUGGAGCAGCUCUCGGCUCAGUCCCUAUAAUCGUCUGUUGAAAGUCAAUGCUCGCUGUUGGAGAGGUACUACUCGAUGCGUAACUGACCACCUCCACCGAUUGUGCCGGCGUUAUUAUAGCACCGGGAAAUUGAAAAUUAUUGGAUCGAAGUAAGCUCUUGUCUUCGGAAAUAAUAAUAACUGCUCGGACAUUGGAAUCCGCCAGAUAGCUCCACAGGAAAAAGAAGAACGGAUCUUCUUCCGUCUUGUUACAGAUGAUUAUGCUGCCGAAUGGUGCUUUCGCCAAUAAUUCGGUUGAGUUGCAGGCAGACAAUGUCUUGUUGUACACAAGGGGCAAGUUUCUGAUUGCUGCUCUUGCGGGAAAAGUGGUCCACCCUGUGAUGGCUUUCCCGUUCCCGAGGGUCACGGACCCACCGAACCACCGAUCAACGGUUCCCGAUGCAACCACCACAGCCCACGGUAUUCCUGCUCGCACAGUAAUGCCGCUAGGGCCGCGAUUUCCUGCGGAGAAACAAACCAAGACCCCCUUCUCACGAGCACCAAAGGCAGCUAUAGCCAUAGGAUUCUCGUACAGACUAGCCCGUCUGAAAGUAAUCGAAAUUGAAAUUAUAUCUACACCGUCAGCCACCGCCUGGUCAAUGCCUGCGAGUACAUCCGAUUCGUAGCCUCCGCCGAAAAGGACUUUAUACGCCGCCAGCCUGGCGCGUGGGGCCACCCCUCUUGCGGUUCCAGGGGCGUAACCAAAGAAGGAUACUCCGUCGACGUAAUUACCGGCGGCAAUGGAGGCAACAUGGGUCCCGUGACCUUGGUCGUCCCUCGCAGUAUCCGGGACAGGGUUUUCAGGGAAUGCGGCUCGAGUACCUUGGUUGAAAUAUCUGACUCCGAUGAGUUUCUUGUUGCACAACGACGAAUUGAAAUCUUGGCCUCCUUGGCAACUGCCUUUCCAUCUUGGGGGUAUUUCCGUCAUGCCUUCAUCCCUAAAGCUCGGACUCUCCGGCCAAAUUCCGGUGUCCAGGAUUCCGAUGAUCACAUCUUUGCCGUAGUUGGAUGCCGGCCACAACCCUGUAGCAGUAUUGAGCGAGAGGAAUUUAUAGGAAUGUGUGGUGUCUGUUGUGACAACACCAUCUUCAAAAGCCGAAAGGAAACCCGGUGACUUCUUUAAAGCUUCCAAUUCGUGUUUGUUCAUCACCACACUGAAUCCAUGGAAGGCAUUGUCGUAAGUGUAGAUAAUCUUCGGUUCAGAUUCGUAGAGUGAUUUAGCAGAAUUGAGCAUGGAAGAAUACCAAUGAUGGUGGCUGGAGAAUGCCUUGGGCAUGGAGGAUUUGUCCAUAUGGACAAUAUAUGUCGAUCUUUCUGCCGAAACAUCACCAGCCAACAGAAAAAUCGAGACAAGAAUUAGAGCAGCUGCCAUAACAAGAAGCUCCAUUAAUUUUUCACUCAGUGGUAGAUGCUUCUAGACCAUUCUGCUAUAUAAUACAUGUUAUUACAAGGCAGCUACUGACUUUCUUUGCAGUAUUUCUAGUGACUGUAAUAAGGUAGAAGAAACACCGACAAGAGUGAAGAUAUUUUAAAUGGUCCAAAAGAUGAGGAUUUAUAGCUAUGGCCCCAUUCCCACCUUCCACAUCUGCCUCUGUCUGUCUGUGUAUCUACAUUGGAUAGGGAUCCGUUUAACAGCCCAUAAACUAAAGGGGUACGUACUCCCAUUUCCAUUUCCAAUAUAUAUAGAUACAUAUUUCGACAAAAAAAUGAUUUCCAUGCAUCAAGUUGCUCAUCUUCCAACUACCUAUUACAGUAAACCUUUCUCUCAGGCAUUUCGACAAACACCUUUCAGCAACUCGAAUUUCAGGAUGAAAUAAUUGCCAUUUUCCUUUUUAACCGAUAAUUGGUGGCCACUUCGAUCAAGUAGAGGGAAAAUUUGGAAGUCCGGUUAUUUAAUUUUGGCAUAUUUUUUGAAAUAAAAUCAAAUAACUAAAAAUAAAUACUCCAUAAUUAAAAAAAUAUAUAUUAGGAUUUGAAAUAUAAUUUUUUAUUUAUCAUUAAUUUUUAAUAUAAUUUUCUUGUGAUUUACAAUUUUUAAUAUUAAAACUACCAAUUAACAAUAACGGUGACAACUGACACGUAUAAAUAAACCUUCAAUUUUCGGGUCAAUUAGCCCGGUUUAUUUAUUGUGCACGUGCACAUAGCCCACAUACAGAUCGUUAAAACCCGACCGAAACAGCGGUUCCCGGAAACUGCGUGCUCUUCGCUCCUCCGAUUUUCAUUCUGACCGGCUUCUCUUUUGUAACGGUACGCCAUUUUCGUGAUUCUGUUUUCUUCAAGGAAAAUAUUUGUGUCUUCUUCUCUUUUGGUUGUGUUUCGCUGAGCUUCUUCAUUGCAUUUUCGCCUGAAUAUUAGUGUAAUAUCCAGAACUGAUUCAUGAUUUGGAAAGAAAUUAGGGUUUUUUUGUAAGCGAAUUUUUAUUUCUUAAAAAGUGCAUUAGGUUAUGAAAUUAAUCUACUAAAUUUUUUGAUGCUGGACAUUUACUUGCUAGUGUUCAUUUCUACUGCACAACACUUUUCCUAUCCUGAGUCCUGACCUAGCCAAUUUGAAUAAAUAACUUUGAAAUAUGGAUGAUUUGGUUUAAAAUUAAGAUAUUGGUUUAAGAAAGAUAAAUAAGGUAUUUAUGCAAGUUUUAUUAUUUAUUAUUAUUCAGAGGUUUCCAAGAUGGACUUAUAUCAUCACCAGUGACGGAUGAACUAACAUAGAAUUAGCCGAAAUUAUCAGCUCCUCCAGAAACCACAAUGGGGCUCCUGACCUUGUGCUUGCCAGUUUCCUCGACCCAAGUGAGUGAACCAAAUGUCGGAAAUGAAUCAAUAUCGCCCCUGUAACGAAUGUUUAAGGAAUAACUCUGCUUCUCGUAUUUCUUUUGAAACACUAAUGUCUUUGGCUGAAUUCUAACUCUGGUAUUCGCAGGUUUUUCCAGCUUAACUUUAUACGUGGCUGCACCAUCUGCUACAUUCGUCACCGUCCUGUGGAAUGUCCGGUUAAACGUCAUCCCUCUUUCGUCAAAGUUAAAAAGAGCAAUGAAAGACGGGUAGUUCAGGUCGGAGGAUGGGCUCGAGCAGUUGUAGGUUGAUCUCGUGAUUGUUUGAGUUUGCUCGCGGGUCAAAUUCAUCGAGCAAACAAGAUUCACAAAGUCUUGUGGAGUAGCAUCGUAGACUAGGCCUGGAUCGAGCGCGCGAUUAGGAUCCACAUGCCCUGAUCCAAUGCCUAGAGGCGUGGCGUUACUGUAAUUAAACGCCAUAUCCUUGAUUGGCUGAUUGGUAUUAUCAAGAUGAUUGGCAGUGGUCAUCAUGGCCGAUUGAAUAGCCGAAGGACUCCAAUCGGGGUGUGCUGCUUUGAGAAGCGCAGCAACUCCGGCAAUAUGAGGGCAAGCCAUGGAUGUGCCUGACAAGAGAUUGUAAUCACUCGACAAGAACACGUUCUUACCGAUAACCGGUGCACUAUUAAUACUGUAAGGACUGUUCGCUGCUAAGAUCAGCACUCCUGGUGCCAUUAUGUCGGGCUUCAAUAUCCGGUCAUAGCUUAGUGCAGGCCCUCUAGAUGACGAACCUGAUAGGGCUGGAGCAGCUCUCGGCUCAGUCCCUAUAAUCGUUUGCUGAAAAUCGAUGCUUGCUGUUGGAGAGGUACUACUCGAUGCGUACCUGACCACCUCCACUGAUUGAGCUGGAGUGAUUAUAGCACCGGGAAAUUGAAAAUUAUUGGAUCGAAGUAAGCUUGUGUCAUCGGAAAUAACAAUAACUGCUUGGACAUUGGAAUCCGCCAGAUAGUUCCACAGGAAAAAGAAGAACGGAUCUUCCUCCGUCUUGUUACAGAUGAUUAUGCUGUUGAAUGGUGCUUCCGCCAAUAAUUCGGUUGAGUUGCAGGCAGACAAUGUCUCGUUGUACACAAGGGGCAAGUUUCUGAUAGCUGCUCUUGCGGGAAAAGUGGUCCACCCUGUGAUGGAUUUCCCGUUCCCGAGGGUCACGGUCCCACCGAACCACCGAUCAACAGUCCCCGAUGCAACUUCGACAGCCCACGGCAUUCCUCCUCGCACAGUAGCACCGCUAGGGCCGCCAUUUCCUGCGGCGAAACAAACCAAGACCCCAUGCUCACGAGCACCAAAGGCAGCUACAGCAAUAGGGUUCUCGUAGAGACUGGCCCGCCGAAAAGUAAUCGAAAUUGAGACUAUAUCGACACCGUCAGCCACAGCUUGGUCGAUUCCCGCGAGUACAUCCGAUUCGUAACCUCCGCCGAACAGGACUUUAUACGCCGCCAGCCUGGCACGUGGGGCCACCCCUCGUGCAGUUCCAGGUGCGUAACCGAAGAACGAGACACCCUCGACGUAGUUUCCGGCGGCAGUUGAGGCGACGUGGGUCCCGUGACCAUCGUCGUCCCUUGCUGAAUCGGGGACAGGGGUUUCAGGAAAUGCGGCUCGAGUACCUUGGUUGAAAUAUCUGACUCCGAUGAGUUUCUUGUUGCACAAAGACGAAUUGAAAUCUUGGCCGCCUUGGCAAGUGCCCUUCCACUUUGCUGGGAUAGCGGUCAUGCCUUCAUCACUAAAGCUCGGACUUUCCGGCCAAAUUCCGCCGUCUAAGAUUCCGAUUAUCACAUCUUUGCCGUAGUUGGAUGCCGGCCACAAUCCCGAAGCAGUGUUGAGUGAGAGGAAUUUAUAGGAAUGGGUAGUGGCUGCUGUGACGGCUCCAUCUUCAAAAGCCGAAAGGAAACCCGGUGACUUCUUCAAAGCUUCCAAUUCGUGUUUGUUCAUCACCACACUGAAUCCAUGGAAGGCAUUGUCGUAAGUGUAGAUAAUCUUCAACCCGCGUUCGUCGAGUGAUUUAGCAGAAUUGAGCAUGGAAGAAUACCAAUGAUGGUGGCUCGAAAAUGCCUUUGGCAUGGAGGAUUUGUCCAUGUGGACAAUAUAUGUCGAUCUUUCUGCCGAAACAUCAUCGGCCAAUAGAAAAAUCGAGACAAGAAUUAGAGCAACUGCCAUAAGAGGAAGCAGCUCCAUUGUUUUUUCACUAAUUAGAUCUGAGUUGUGAAUAUGGUAGAUUGGUUUAGACAAGUAGUUAUUAGUACCAUUCUGUUAUAUAAAGAUAUUUGCUGACUUUUCUUUGCUUUUGCCAACCAAUUAUUAUACUUUUUUUUGUUUUUAAAUUCAGUAUAUGUUGCUGUCAUCUUGCCAGCGCAAGUUGAUAAUAUUACAGGAUAAUGCAAAGGGGAUAAAGAAAAAUCCUUGUAUCAUUUUCAAUUACUGUAUGUACCACGUACAUGAUUGGUUUGUAUAGGUGCAUUAGAUUUUAUUUGGACCAUGCAUAUUUCCAAGUACCUAUUACUGUAAAACCUCUCUCUCAGACAUUUCAACAUACACCUUUCAGCAGCAGUGGCUUGAAUUGACUACGAAAUAAUCGCAACAUUCAUCUCUAAAUACAUGUUCGUCUUACACGUAAAUGCGAAUCCUUGAAACAUUUGUCGUUCCAUCAUCAAUCAAGUUUAGCUUAAACUUUAUUUAACCAAUAAGAACUUCACUUUUUAGCGAAGUACCCCUAAAAACUCACUUCUAACAGCGCAAUUUGUUUUCAUUUUUUUUUUUUUUUAAUUUGAAGAAAGUGAAAUAUACAUUUCGUUGGAAUCGAAGUAAGUGAAGAAGAGUGUCAGGUUCUUCAAAAAAUCGCGAGUUCAUUAUAGCGUGAUUCUUUGAUUCUGUAGAAGCGCUGUUGUUUAUCGAUUCUGGGUUCCAACAUUAAUCUUGCAGCACACACGAUAUGCUAAUGUUCGUGCCAUCUGGUAUUUGCAUUUCUGUUUCUCAAGAUUCAUGCACUCAAGAUGUUUGAUUUUUGUCCCAAAAGAACUCCUCUCAAGUCUCAAUCUUUCUCCUCCUUUUUUUUUGUCUUUCCAAUUCACCUUAUGUCCAUUAGUUACGUUAACAAAUCCAUUUUUCUUGUUCCAGCAGACUCUACUCAGUAAAUAUCUUUCUUUUUUUUUCUUUUGAAGUUACUAAGCAAGCAUGCCAUUUUUCUACGUUAGCCAGGAAUUCAAACAAUGUCACGUUGUAUCUCCAAAGGCCAAAGCUGAUUGAUUCAAUGAAGCUGUGUACCCGUUUAAAUGCACCCGAAAGCUCUCCUGUUAACAUCUUUAACAAUCCUUCAAUGGACUCGUUUGUUGUGAUCAAUGCACUUCGGUCAGCUCCCUCGCCCAUCGCAGCCCUCUGUUUGAUCGAAAAUCUAAAAAAGAUAAAAGAUUUUCCUCAUUCCGAAGACACCCUCUAUGCACUGGCCAAGAUUCUUGCUAAAUCCGGAAAAACUAGUAAACUCAGAGCAUUGAUCGAUGCCAUCAAUAAUAGUGGCAAGUUUGUAAAUGUGGCGUAUGUCAGUUUCUUGGAUCGGGUGAAGUGGAAUGCAGGGUGUUUGGGAAGAGUGGAGAAGAGCCUUGGACAAGCUCCCAUGUAACUGCAUCCUAUAAUAUAGUAAUGAAACUUUGUGUUGAGAAGGGCAUGGAAGAAAUGGCAAUAAAUGUAUUCUGCAGGAUGAUCGAUGGAUGGGAGCUCUCGAAUUGUAGAAUCUACAUUAUUAUUAUCCAGCACCUGAUUAAGUUUGAGAAAUUAUAUUCGGCUAUGAAACUAUUUCAAAUGCUACCAUUGAUGCGAUUUCGUCGUACAUCAAAGAAGUAUUAUUCAUUGGUCGAAGUUUUUACAGACUCCGACAAUGUAAAUGUUGCGAAGACUUUACUUAACGAGAUGCGAGCUGACUGGACAUUAAAACAUUCUCCCACUAUGCAAUGCCAUUAUUAUUAUUAAUUUUAGAGGUUUCCAAAGAUCGACUUAUAUCAUGACUAGCGAGUAGCGAGUAGCGACAGAUGAGCUAACAUAGAAUUAACCGAAAUUAUCAACUCCUCCAGAAACCACGAUGGGGCUCCUGACCACGUGCUUGCCAGUUUCCUCAACCCAAGUGAGUGAACCAUGCCUCGGAAAUGCAUUAUUAUCACCCCUGUAACGGAUGUUUAAGGAAUAACUUUGCUUCUCGUAUUUCUUUUGAAACACUAAUGUCUUUGGCUGAAUUCUAACUCUGGUAUUCGCAGGUUUUUCCAGCUUAACUUUAUACGUGGCUGCACCAUCUGCUACAUUCGUCACCGUCCUGUGGAAUGUCCGGUUAAACGUCAUCCCUAUUUCGUCGUUGUUAAAAAGAGCAAUGAAAGACGGGUAAUUCAGGUCGGAGGAUGGGCUCGAGCAGUUAUAGCUUGUUCUGGUGAUUGUUUGAGUUUGCUCCCGAGUGAAAUUCCUGGAGCAAACAAGAUUCACAAAGUCUUGUGGGGAUGCAUCGUAGACUAGGCCUGGAUCAAGCGCGCGAUUGGGAUCCACCUGCCCCGAUCCAAUGCCUAGAGGCGUGGCGUUUCUGUAAUUAGAUGCCGAGUCCUUGAUUGGCUGAUUGGUACUAUCAAGAUGAUUGGCAGUGGUC
This 14251-nucleotide long non-coding RNA is filed under the name Erythranthe guttata (spotted monkey flower). RNAcentral describes it as "long non-coding RNA (EGUT_LNC001228)". The record is from RNAcentral. Lineage: Eukaryota; Viridiplantae; Streptophyta; Magnoliopsida; Lamiales; Phrymaceae.